UCAACCAGACGGCAGUUAUCAAGUC
This 25-nucleotide non-coding RNA is filed under the name Drosophila melanogaster (fruit fly). The record is from RNAcentral. Lineage: Eukaryota; Metazoa; Arthropoda; Insecta; Diptera; Drosophilidae.